RNAcentral lists this ribosomal RNA (440 nucleotides) under uncultured bacterium. Its description in RNAcentral is "partial 16S ribosomal RNA". It matches the Rfam family "Bacterial small subunit ribosomal RNA", at positions 338 to 795 of the family's 1533-position model. The record is from RNAcentral.
CCUACGGGAGGCAGCAGUGGGGGAUAUUGCACAAUGGGGGGAACCCUGAUGCAGCGACGCCGCGUGGGUGAAGAAGCGCCUCGGCGCGUACAGCCCUGUCAGCAGGGAAGAAAAUGACGGUACCUGACGAAGAAGCCCCGGCUAACUACGUGCCAGCAGCCGCGGUAAUACGUAGGGGGCAAGCGUUAUCCGGAUUUACUGGGUGUAAAGGGGGCGCAGACGGCGCUGCAAGCCAGGAGUGAAAGGCCGGGGCCCAACCCCGGGACUGCUCUUGGACAUGCGUGGCAGGAGUGCAGGAGGGGCAGGCGGAAUUCCUGGGGUAGCGGUGAAAUGCGUAGAUAUCAGGAGGAACACCGGUGGCGAAGGCGGCCUGCUGGACUGCAACUGACGUUGAGGCCCGAAAGCGUGGGGAGCAAACAGGAUUAGAUACCCGAGUAGUC